Molecule: ribosomal RNA, 897 nt
Filed under: Humicola cuyabenoensis
Lineage: Eukaryota; Fungi; Ascomycota; Sordariomycetes; Sordariales; Chaetomiaceae
Description: LSU rRNA
Rfam family: Eukaryotic large subunit ribosomal RNA
Source: RNAcentral
UAAGCAUAUCAAUAAGCGGAGGAAAAGAAACCAACAGGGAUUGCCCUAGUAACGGCGAGUGAAGCGGCAACAGCUCAAAUUUGAAAUCUGGCUCCGGCCCGAGUUGUAAUUUGCAGAGGAAGCUUUGGGCGCGGUACCAACUGAGUCCCCUGGAACGGGGCGCCACAGAGGGUGAGAGCCCCGUAUAGUUGGAUGCCUAGCCUGUGUAAAGCUCCUUCGACGAGUCGAGUAGUUUGGGAAUGCUGCUCAAAAUGGGAGGUAAAUUUCUUCUAAAGCUAAAUACCGGCCAGAGACCGAUAGCGCACAAGUAGAGUGAUCGAAAGAUGAAAAGCACUUUGAAAAGAGGGUUAAAUAGCACGUGAAAUUGUUGAAAGGGAAGCGCUUGUGACCAGACUUGCGCCCGGCUGAUCAUCCGGUGUUCUCACCGGUGCACUCUGCCGGGCUCAGGCCAGCAUCGGUUCUCGCGGGGGGAUAAAGGCCCUGGGAACGUAGCUCCUCCGGGAGUGUUAUAGCCCAGGGCGUCAUACCCUCUCGGGGACCGAGGUUCGCGCAUCUGCAAGGAUGCUGGCGUAAUGGUCAUCAGCGACCCGUCUUGAAACACGGACCAAGGAGUCAAGGUUUUGCGCGAGUGUUUGGGUGUAAAACCCGCACGCGUAAUGAAAGUGAACGUAGGUGAGAGCUUCGGCGCAUCAUCGACCGAUCCUGAUGUUUUCGGAUGGAUUUGAGUAGGAGCGUUAAGCCUUGGACCCGAAAGAUGGUGAACUAUGCUUGGAUAGGGUGAAGCCAGAGGAAACUCUGGUGGAGGCUCGCAGCGGUUCUGACGUGCAAAUCGAUCGUCAAAUCUGAGCAUGGGGGCGAAAGACUAAUCGAACCAUCUAGUAGCUGGUUACCGCCGAA